Molecule: unclassified non-coding RNA, 233 nt
Filed under: Hevea brasiliensis (rubber tree)
Lineage: Eukaryota; Viridiplantae; Streptophyta; Magnoliopsida; Malpighiales; Euphorbiaceae
Source: RNAcentral
GCAGGAAGGGGUGGAAAGAGUGGAUGACGAGCAUGCAAGGUCUGGGAUAGAAUGGCUUGAGAUUCACAGAGUGAUGAUGGGGAAAAAUUAAAUGUGCCACGCUAAUUAUGGUAGAAACCUGGUUUGGUCAUUCUUCUGCCAGGGCCACAACGGGAGGGAGGUCUUCAUGCCUGCCUAGAGCUGCCCCAUUAUCAAAUGGAUGAAUUUUGUGGAUUAUUGUUGGAAGAAUAAAG